This 5564-nucleotide long non-coding RNA is filed under the name Sus scrofa (pig). Its description in RNAcentral is "lncRNA (ENSSSCG00055004460.1)". Lineage: Eukaryota; Metazoa; Chordata; Mammalia; Artiodactyla; Suidae. The record is from RNAcentral.
GGGUCAAAUUGGAGCUGCAGCUGCAGGCCUACACCACAGCCACAGCAAUGGGGGAUCCAAGCCACACAGUGACCUACACCACAGCAAUGCUGGAUCCUUAACCCACCAAGCGAGGCCAGGGAUUGAACCCACAUGCUCAUGGACACUGGUCGGGUUGGUUACCGCUGCACCAUCCCGGGAACUCCAGACCCGAAAUGUGAAGGCAGGUAAACGCCCCUCUUGCAGCCUCUGCACCGACUCCUCCGUAACUGCUCAGUAACUGACCCAAACGGCUCUCGGGACGGGCACCUGGUCGUGUCGACCCUCCGCUCCUGCCGGCGGUGCGCCCUGACUCUUGUCGCCGCAGGUCUCUGCACACACGUGUGUGUGUCCACAGCAGACAUUCCAGGACGCGGAGUCGCCAGGUCCAAGGGAUUCCAGAGAAACUGCAAAAGCCUUUCCUGGAAGAACCACCUGUAAGGACACUCACUUCCCAUCACUGGAGCCAACAGCACCUGUUCUCAGCAUUUGUUCUUUGACCACCGGGCCAGGUGAGAUGUGGUGUCUCCCUGGGGCUCACCUGCAUUCUCUUCUCAUGAGCAAGUUAAGCAUCUUCCUACACGUUUAAAAACUAUAGGUAGUCUUCUUUCUAAGAACUAUUCAUGGCUUUUGUUCUUUUUUUUGGUGGGGGGAGGUGUUUGGUUCUUAGGCUUUUCUUAAUGAUCUGCAGGAAUUCUAUGAAUAUUACAGCCUAUCAAUCCCUUCUCUGUGACACACAUAUUUUCAUAUUCUUUUCUUAUGGGUGGUUUUGGGGGGUGGUUUGGGGCAGAGAGAAAAUGUGGACUUUUAUAGAAUCAGUAUUCUUUUUCUUUUUAUAACUUCUGGGGUUUAUGUCACACUGAGAAAGGCCUUCUCAUCUCAAGAUCAUAAAAUCCAGUCUCUUCGGUUUUCUUCUAGUAGUUUUAUGGUUGCGUUUUCCAAGUUCACGUCGUCAUCCGUCCAUCUGGAAUGCAUUCUGGUGCAAGAGUGAGGCAGGAUCCAAGUUCUUUUUCCCAGAUGGCUCGUCCCCAUCCCAGCCCGUUUCAGUGACUAAGCCUUCCUUUCCCAGCCAACGCGAAAUGCCGUCUUUCUCAAACCCUAGGUCCCUGCGGGUACCAGGCCUUCAGAGCCACAGGGCAACAGCUGUGCACCCCCUUGACGGUCCACAGGGAGGGGAGGCUCUGCGGCUCACCCCGCCCCCAAGAUGCUCCACCCCCCCCCCCCCCCCCGGGGGAGCCCGAGGGGGGAAGGAAGCAGCUCAGAUAGAGCCUGAGUAAGCACGUCGCACUAAUGCAGAGUCACUCACAGAACCAAACCCUGGGCAAUGACCACGUCCGGCACUAGGAGACUCUCCAUGAAUUAGGCUGAAUCCCACCACCCCGGAUGGGAAGAGUGCCUUCGUCGCCGAGUGGAGACAGAAAGUCAAAACCAGCUGUGCUAGGCUCCGAGGCCUCUCCUUUCAGGGAGGGGCGCCCGUGGGGAUCAAGGCCCCGCUGAGGAGGAAAUUUCCAGACCAGCCACCAUGAGGCUUUUCCUUCUGUUCGAACCCAGUGGGGUUUGAGUCUGGGAUGAUUAUGGGUGAUUUUUAUUGUCUUCUCUACUUUUUUUUAUUUUCCAAAAUGCCUAUAUUAAACAUGCAUCCUUUCUCAUUAAAAAACACGUGUCCACAUAUGCUUAAAUGUAUGUUGAUAUUAACUAUACAUAUAUACACACAAUGCAAUUAAAGAAGAGAGAGGAGAAGCCCCUGUGUACUGACUCUAGGGCCUCGGGGGCAGCCUGAGCUGGGUGGGGGCACCCCCAUCCCAGGCCAGGCUGUGAGCCCUUCCGGCCGUGGCACAGCCGUGUGCGACAGCUGGUGCGCAGUCAAUGCUGAAGGGCAUUUUAGGAAGGCGGCCUCUCCACCCACCCCCUUGGCCAAGCCGCACGCACUGCCCGAGAUGCUGGGGGCACCCGCAAAGACCUUAGGCGAGUCCGAAUCGGAGGCAGUGUUUCUAGAGCAUUUCCUGCCAUGCACCUAAGCAGGCAGGUGGACACGCGGAGGUGAGGGGCGCACAAGGGAGGUUUCCGGAGGCGCCAGCAGCCCGGAGUUUCGAGUUGCAGCCUUGGGCCUGGAACCUCUGGCCCAGCGAAGACCUGAUCAACAGCAGAUGCCCUUCCCACGCAAGCCGGCCCACAUCUCCCUCCUUUCCGGGCCUGAAAGGCCAGGCUGGGAACGAGACAGGGGGAGGUGGGGGACUGCGGACCCUGAGGACCUGAGCGGGGGACGCAGCCCAGGAAGCGCCCCCGCCGGGCCAGGCAAGAACGUCAAGGCUGGGGAGGCUGAGAGAGAAAGCAGGUGUACCCGGCCGGCCGGCCUCCAACAGGAGCUAUCCCCGCUGCCCCUGCCACCAGCCUCCAGCCAGGUGGCAACACCAGCAUGGAGCUUCCCAGGGGGUGGGCAAAGUGGGAGGGAAGGGUCCCGGCAGCAAGAGGAGAGAGGAAUGAGCGGUCAGGGGAAGAGGGGUUCUGAGAGAGGCUGAUGGAGCCCAGAGACGAUGACUGUGCAGAAUGGCACGGGGGACGUCAGGGCCCUUUCUGGGGGCGGAUGCUCACGGCCGCCCCCCCUGCUGCAGAGAGCGGACCAGAAAAUGUUCUCCUAAGUGACUGGAAAAAGACCAGACUACCCCUCUUCAAGUGGUUUUUUGUUGUUUUUUUUUUGUUUGUUUGCUGAGACAUUGACCAGGCAACCAAUUUAUGAGGAAGGCACAUGCCUGGAGCCCCACAUUUUUGCUUGGGCUUAACUUCAGCUCAGGAGGGCGGAUCGUGGGACCGAGAGGCAGCCCAGGCCAGGCCAGAGCAGCCAGCCCGGGGAAGGCAGCUUUGAGCGCGAGACGUGGUGCCAGCAUCCUUGCUCCUUGCUCUGGCGGGCAGGGGAGGAGGCGGCGGCCCGGGACACCGGAAGUGAUCCCUCUACCCACACACAAGUCCUGGAAGAUGAUGCAGGUCAAGGUAAGGGCUCGGAAGAGCAGGGCGGGGGCAGAAGCUGGCAGUGUUGAAAGAAUUCCAAAACACGCUGAAAGAGUUUCUGGAAGUUACUGAUAGGGUAAGACGACCCAUCCUGGAAUUAAAGGAGCCUGGGGUGAAAAUGCCUGCGAAGAUUCGCCUCGGCAGAUUACAGAGAAGCAGCAGGACGACAGCAGGGGACAUUAUCAAGAGGACGAAGGGGUGGGGGUUCGCCGAGGGGGUGGCCUGGGGUCCCGCAGGGGCCACAUUCGAAUCCCAGGUCUCCUCCUCGUUAGCUUGACCUGGACCACUCCUUGCACGACUGACCUUGGGGCUUGUUGGGGGAGGGGGGCGAGAAAUCACGAGUGUAAGACAGCAGCUCACGGGGGGGCAGUCAGCGCACUGGAGCCCAAGGCACUGGAGACACCAGGGGGACAGCGCUCACACCUGCUCAGGUACAUGUGACACGAGUGCGCUCUCACACACAGAGACACACACGAGUCACUCGCCUGGGGAGCCCACGAAGGACCUGGGGCAGUUCGGACGGCUCUAUGAAGCAGGUGGUUGAUGCAUGUCAGUGUGGACAGUCCAGCCCGCAGCCUCCACCCCGCAAACGCGCCCGGGCUCCCCAGGCUGUUCUUCCGCGUUCCCCAGACCAAACCCCAGAGCACCCCUGGCAGACCCCCCGUUUCCUCCCUUCUCUGGCCCCUCUAGGAGCAUCGAGUCCAGGACACCCACCUCUGCCAGCCAGUGAGUCCCCCUUCUCCCCCAGACCAGCCCAGACGCCCUCACGUCCGCCCGCCCUGCUUCAGAAUGAGCCAGUUCAAAGCAGGCCGGCCAACACCCCCGGGGCUUAGCAAACGCCUUCCGCUCCAGCCCGCAGCUCCUUGGUGAGCCUCCCUCAACUGCGCACUGCCAGUGCCGAGGGAUGGGACAGACCCGGAGACCCCGUCUGCGUGGAGAUCCCAACGGUGCCCCCUUAAACUCUCACCCAAACCUACGACGGAGACCCCCUCUGCUCCAUUUUGCACAUCAGAAACCAGGACACGGAAGAAAAAGGCUGUUUUGACGUCAAGCUGGGAGCCUGGCAGUGCAUCUCCCAGCCAGGCCAGGUCCCGGGCAGGUGGGGCCCGGCUGCAGUCUUGCCCUUGGCCUCCAGGCGAGCCAUGCCCACACCUGGUCUGGAAACAUGAGGCUCGGCUGUCCCGACAGUGAACUAGCCUUGCCUCUCCACCAUCUGCGGGGACUUCUGCGCCAGUGAUGUGACCUCCAACUAGACACGCCUGGGACCACGUGGACGGGAGGCGCCCUCUUCCCUCUGUUUCAGAUGCGCCAAAACUCCCUGGCUUUUCCCAGGAGAACCCGCCUGGCCUCGGUCAGUGGGGGAGGAGGGCCACCCAAGGAGAAAAUUUCUGAGGCCUCUGAGAAUUCUCUAGAACUCACGAUCCAUCUUCAGGGAAAACCAAGAGCUGAACGCCUGAGCCUGGUGCUCAGCAAGCCCGCUGGCUCUCACGGUCUCUCUGCCCACGAGAUAAAAGGCAGACUCAGACGUCAGGCCCCCGGGCAUCGCUCCUCUCCGCGUGUUCAUUUUUCUCUGCUGAAGUGCUGAUGGUUGAAAGAUGGGGCCCUUGCCUGGUCCAGCUUCCCUGACCCAGAAGGUGAUGGGGAAGCUGCCCAAGUUUCACUCCUGGGACCUCUGCGGGGCCACUGGGCCCCCACCUUGCCCUCAGAGGGGGAGCCCCCGCAGCCUCCCCGCCCUGAUCUUCUGCAACAUUUGGCUUUUGCUGGCCCGGGGCCGCGUGUGGGAACUGAUAUUAAACAGGCAGGCCCCACCUGGCCACAAUCCUCGCCCAUCACUCCUUCCUUCCCCCUAAAAUGGAAAAAGUGACUCAGCUAGAACCACUCACCCCCCCACCCCCACCGCACAAACCCGCUCCUUGCAGCUGAACACAAGGGCGCAAGGUCAGAGCCUGCCCCAUCUCCUCUGAGAAGCCCAAGGAUGAGGGACUUGGGGGGCUUUGGAAAGUGGGCGCCCCAUACAGCACGGCUUCCUCCCGAAACCAAACAGGCACCAGCUCCCGGCCUGGGCCCCAGGAGACAGGUGGAGGGCAGCCACUGGGUUCCACCAACCUCCUCCUCUCUCAGCCCCUUGCUGCCCGGGGGGGUCCGACCCCAGAUGGAAAGAUGGGGCUGAUGGGGCUGAAACUUCCCUUCACUGCAAUGUCUGGCUCCCAGGAGGCUGGGCAAAACCCAGUUUCCACAACUCGAAUGUGACUGUAAAGACUCCAGCUUACUAGUGGUGGGACUUCUGUGAGCCUCAGUUUUCCUGCCUGGAAGAUGGAGAUGCUCCCACCUUGCCAAGACGUCAUCUGGAUAAAACGACGGUCGACAGCACUCGGGAUAAGGGGAAAGAAAGAUCCAGAAGUUCCGACUCCUCGCCUUCAGAGAAUAUUCCCAAGCAGACACACCUCUCCUGUGUCAGAUGCUCUUCUACCUAAUUCAAGUAUCAGCUGCUGGGUCGAGGAGGCCACUGAGGGGCCGAGGGACCCCAGGGCUGGCUCGGA